This 74-nucleotide transfer RNA is filed under the name Bacteroidales bacterium. Its description in RNAcentral is "tRNA-Pro(ggg)". It matches the Rfam family "tRNA". From Rfam's summary of the family: Transfer RNA (tRNA) molecules are approximately 80 nucleotides in length. Their secondary structure includes four short double-helical elements and three loops (D, anti-codon, and T loops). Lineage: Bacteria; Pseudomonadati; Bacteroidota; Bacteroidia; Bacteroidales. The record is from RNAcentral. RNAcentral also lists the same sequence under 5 other names.
CGGGAUGUGGCGCAGUCCGGUAGCGCAACGGUCUGGGGGACCGGAGGUCGCAAGUUCAAAUCUUGUCAUCCCGA